UAGCUCAACGGAUAGAGCAUCUGACUACGGAUCAGAAGGUUAGGGGUUCGAAUCCCU
RNAcentral lists this transfer RNA (57 nucleotides) under Actinobacteria bacterium BACL15 MAG-120619-bin91. RNAcentral describes it as "tRNA-Arg". It matches the Rfam family "tRNA", at positions 8 to 62 of the family's 71-position model. Rfam says of the family: Transfer RNA (tRNA) molecules are approximately 80 nucleotides in length. Their secondary structure includes four short double-helical elements and three loops (D, anti-codon, and T loops). Further hydrogen bonds mediate the characteristic L-shaped molecular structure. tRNAs have two regions of fundamental functional importance: the anti-codon, which is responsible for specific mRNA codon recognition, and the 3' end, to which the tRNAs corresponding amino acid is attached (by aminoacyl-tRNA synthetases). tRNAs cope with the degeneracy of the genetic code in two manners: having more than one tRNA (with a specific anti-codon) for a particular amino acid; and 'wobble' base-pairing, i.e. permitting non-standard base-pairing at the 3rd anti-codon position. The record is from RNAcentral. Lineage: Bacteria; Bacillati; Actinomycetota; Actinomycetes.